RNAcentral lists this long non-coding RNA (1324 nucleotides) under Sus scrofa (pig). RNAcentral describes it as "lncRNA (ENSSSCG00005013155.1)". The record is from RNAcentral. Lineage: Eukaryota; Metazoa; Chordata; Mammalia; Artiodactyla; Suidae.
CACAGGUGAAAGAGUUUGAGUGCACAGGUGUGCGUGCGUGUGAGCGUGCGUGCGUGCGUGCGAGAAGGUCAGAGUGCGCCGCGUGUCCGUAAGUGAAAGUGCGCGUUUUUGUGUUCAGAUGGAGGACGCCCCCAGCUCCCAGAAGAGCGGGCGACUUUCUUCCUCUCACGACUUGGGGAGAGGAGGAGGAGGACCGUUUCCGACGUGGACAGGUUUCGACGUCUUAGGGGUGAGAGCAGCUGUUUUCACAAUGUUGCCUGUUGAAGAAUCCAGGCCCGUUGUCUCAUGGAAGGUCCACGUCCAGGAUCUGCCUGUGUUUCCUUACAAUGUCAUUGAACUUGUUCCUCUGGCCCCUGUAUUGCCUAUAAACUUGAAGGUAGGCCUGGCGACUUGAUUAGAUACUUCUUAGCCCAUCUGGGGGAGACUAACCCAUGGGCAGGGCUCCCUUGGUGCUGACCUGGAGGCCCUCAGGAGGUUGCCCACCACAGUCCCAUGUCAUGCUGAGUUGCUGACAGCUGGGUCUCCUCAUUGUAAGGGGUCAGUUUCCUUGAAGGGAAAUGUUUGUCCUGUCCUGUCUCUCCCUCUUUUUUUUUUUUUGGUCUUUCUGUCUUUUUAGGGCUGCACCCGUGGCAUAUGGAUGUUCCCAGGCUAGGGGUCUAAUCGGAGCUACAGCUGCCAGCCUACACCACAGCCACAGCAAAACCAGAUCUGAGCCAUGUCUGCAACCAACACCACAGCUGGCGGCAAUGCUGGAUCCUUAACCCACUGAGCAAGGCCAGGGAUCAAACCUGCAACCUCAUGGUUCCUAGUCGGAUUCAUUUAUGCUGCACCACAACAGGAACUCUUGUCCUGUCUCUUGUAUUAAGAGAGCUGGGGCCCAGCAGGAGCUUCCAACUUAGGAUCCCAGCAUGCCUGACAGGACCAGAGGGUCAGGGCUCUGUGUGACAACUGCCCAAAGAUACCCCAGCAGGGACAAGUAGAGGCUGAAACCCAGCCGUGUGACAAUCUCCAAGCUGGUGCCGGGUUCAAGGCUGGCUUGGUCCAGGUAGGGCCAGAAUGGGAUGGAAUGUCCUGUCAACUGUGGGUGGUACCACUGGUUCUGACACCGUGGGGUGUCCUGAGUCCCUACACCCCACUAGACAAGCCUCUUACACCAUCCGGUGGACUCACUACCACCUUGAGUAUCUGCUUGAAAGGUGGGUGCCUUCUUCUGGGAUGGAGCAGAGGGGCAGGCAGCAGGGAGUCAGGAUUCACUACCAUUCCAGAUCACCCCCUGAUUUCUCGGAGUCUCCUGCACGGAUGCACACAGACCAGGGCAGGAUGA